RNAcentral lists this ribosomal RNA (388 nucleotides) under uncultured bacterium. Its description in RNAcentral is "bacterial SSU rRNA". It matches the Rfam family "Bacterial small subunit ribosomal RNA", at positions 29 to 408 of the family's 1533-position model. The record is from RNAcentral.
AAUGAACGCUGGCGGCGCGCCUAAUACACGCAAGUCGAGCGAGAAGACGUAGCAAUACGUUUGUAAAGCGGCGAACGGGUGAGGAAUACAUGGGUAACCUACCCUCGAGUGGGGAAUAACUAGCCGAAAGGUUAGCUAAUACCGCGUACGCUCCUUGGACUUCGGUUCAGGGAGGAAAGCGAUACCGUGGGUAUCGCGCUCUUGGUUGGGCUCAUGUCCUAUCAGCUUGUUGGUGAGGAACGGCUCACCAAGGCUUCGACGGGUAGCUGGUCUGAGAGGACGAUCAGCCACACUGGCACUGCGACACGGGCCAGACUCCUACGGGAGGCAGCAGUAAGGAAUAUUGCGCAAUGGGCGAAAGCCUGACGCAGCGACGCCGCGUGGGGGA